Molecule: ribosomal RNA, 1475 nt
Filed under: uncultured bacterium
Lineage: Bacteria
Description: bacterial SSU rRNA
Rfam family: Bacterial small subunit ribosomal RNA
Source: RNAcentral
AGAGUUUGAUCCUGGCUCAGGAUAAACGCUGGCGGUGUACAUAAGACAUGCAAGUCGAACGGGAGAAGACAGGAAGAUUUAUCUACUUGUUGGACACCGUGGCGGACGGGUGAGUAACACGUAAGCAACCUGCCUAUAAGAGGGGAAUAACAGUGAGAAAUUACUGAUAAUACCGCAUAAGCUGGAGGUAUCGCAUGAUACAUUCAGAAAAGAUUUAUCGCUUAUAGAUGGGCUUGCGUCUGAUUAGCUAGUUGGUGAGAUAACAGCUCACCAAGGCGACGAUCAGUAGCCGGAUUGAGAGGUUGAACGGCCACAUUGGGACUGAGACACGGCCCAGACUCCUACGGGAGGCAGCAGUCGGGAAUAUUGCACAAUGGAGGAAACUCUGAUGCAGUGACACCGCGUAUAGGAAGAAGGUCUUAGGAUUGUAAGCUAUUGUCGUGUGAGAAGAAAAUGACCAUCACAGGAGGAAGCCCUGGCUAAAUAUGUGCCAGCAGCCGCGGUAAUACAUAUGGGGCGAGCGUUAUCCGGAUUUAUUGGGUGUAAAGGGUGCGUAGGCGGGAAAAAUAAGUCAGUAUGUGAAAUCCCUCGGCUCAACUGAGGAACUGCAACUGAAACUAUUUUUCUUGAGUGUUGAAGGGGAAAGUGGAAUUCCUAGUGUAGCGGUGAAAUGCGUAGAGAUGUGGAGGAAUACCGAAGGCGAAGGCAGCCCCUUGGGAAUGUACUGACGCUCAUGUGCGAAAGCGUGGGGGAGCAAACAGGAUUAGAUACCCUGGUAGUCCACGCUGUAAACGAUGUCGAUUUGGGGGUUGAGCUUUAAGCUUGGCGCCCGUAGCUAACGUGAUAAAUCGACCGCCUGGGGAGUACGGCCGCAAGGUUAAAACUCAAAUGAAUUGACGGGGGCCCGCACAAGCGGUGGAGCAUGUGGUUUAAUUCGAAGAUACGCGAAGAACCUUACCAAGGCUUGACAUACAGAGGAAUAAGUAGGAAACUAUUUAGCUCUUCGGAGUCUCUGUACAGGUGGUGCAUGGUUGUCGUCAGCUCGUGUCGUGAGAUGUUAGGUUAAGUCCUGCAACGAGCGCAACCCCUAUUUCUAGUUGCCAGCACAUAAUGGUGGGAACUCUAGAAAGACUGCCGGUGAUAAAUCGGAGGAAGGUGGGGACGACGUCAAAUCAUCAUGCCCUUUAUGUCUUGGGCAACACACGUACUACAAUGGCCGUUACAGAGAGAAGCAAUACAGUGAUGUGGAGCAAAACUCAAAAAGCGGUCUCAGUUCGGACUGUAGGCUGAAAUUCGCCUACACGAAGUCGGAAUUGCUAGUAAUGGCAGGUCAGCAUACUGCGGUGAAUACGUUCCCGGGCCUUGUACACACCGCCCGUCAAGCCAUGGGAGCCGGGGGUACCUGAAGUCCGUAACCGUUGAGGAUCGGCCUAGGGUAAAACUGGUGACUGGGGCUAAGUCGUAACAAGGUAACC